This is a non-coding RNA of Triticum aestivum (bread wheat), 125 nucleotides long. The record is from Rfam. NCBI's taxonomy places the organism in Eukaryota, Viridiplantae, Streptophyta, Magnoliopsida, Poales, Poaceae.
UGUAUACUCCCUCCGUCCAGAAAUACUUGUCGAAAAAAUGGAUGUAUGUAGAUGUAUUUUAGUUCUAGAUACAUUCAUUUGGAUUCAUUUUUGCGACAAGUAAUUUCGGACGAAGGGAGUAUAUC